Molecule: long non-coding RNA, 223 nt
Filed under: Capsicum annuum
Lineage: Eukaryota; Viridiplantae; Streptophyta; Magnoliopsida; Solanales; Solanaceae
Description: long non-coding RNA (CANN_LNC004449)
Source: RNAcentral
CUCAUUUUCUUCUUCUGCUUCAUCUGUCAUUUUCUCAUCUUUUCCUCUUUCUUCUUCUUCUUCUUCUUCUUGUUCUUGUUCUUUCGCAUCUUCUUCAUCUGCUGCAUUUUUCUCUUCCGUUUCUUCUUCUUCUCUUCUUCUCCUUUUUUAUCUACUGCAACAAUGUCCGUCACUACGACUGCAAGUUCUUCAAGGUUUACUUGAUGCUGGCUACGAGGGGGAC